GGCCAGGAAGCAGGCCAGGCCUCAGCAAUGGAGCCAGCUGGGGCAGGGCCCAGGGGGUGGCCUGGGCGGGGCUCCCGGCUCCCUGAUUCACCCACCCGCAGACCCCACGCGGGACCAGUGCUUCGGGGACCGCUUCAGCCGCCUGCUGCUGGAUGAGUUCCUGGGCUACGAUGACAUCCUCAUGUCCAGCGUGAAGGGCCUGGCGGAGAACGAGGAGAACAAGGGCUUCCUGCGGAAUGUGGUGUCGGGCGAGCACUACCGCUUUGUGAGCAUGUGGAUGGCGCGGACGUCCUACCUGGCCGCCUUCGCCAUCAUGGUCAUCUUCACGCUGAGCGUGUCCAUGCUGCUGCGGUACUCACACCACCAGAUCUUCGUCUUCAUCGGUGAGUGUCCCGCCGGCGCAGGGCGGGGCGGGCGUCCUCCAGGCCCUCACCGGGCGCCCGCCGCCCUGUGCCCGCAGUGGACCUGCUGCAGAUGCUGGAGAUGAACAUGGCCAUCGCCUUCCCCGCAGCGCCCCUGCUGACCGUCAUCCUGGCCCUCGUCGGUGAGGACCCCACCCGGCCUCCCCCGCCCCGCGCUGCACCCCGCCCCGCCCGCUUCAACCGGCGCCGCCUCUCCCUGCAGGGAUGGAGGCCAUCAUGUCGGAGUUCUUCAACGACACCACCACCGCCUUCUACAUCAUCCUCAUCGUGUGGCUCGCGGACCAGUAUGACGCCAUCUGCUGCCACACCAGCACCAGCAAGCGGCACUGGCUGCGGUGAGCGUGGCACGGGGGCAGGGCGGAGUGGGUGCUGGCGGGAAGGGGUAGGGGGCUGCCAGAGGGAGGGGCGUUGGAGGCAGGGGUGGUGGCUGCGCCAAGCGGGAACCCCAGGGGCUGGGCCUGGCAGGGUGGGACCUGCAGCCCCGACGCCCUCACCCCGCCCCGCAGGUUCUUCUAUCUCUACCACUUCGCCUUCUAUGCCUAUCACUACCGCUUCAACGGGCAGUAUAGCAGCCUGGCCCUGGUCACCUCCUGGCUCUUCAUCCAGCAUUCCAUGAUCUACUUCUUCCACCACUAUGAGCUGCCUGCCAUCCUGCAGCAGGUCCGCAUCCAGGAGAUGCUGCUUCAGGCGCCGCCACUGGGCCCCGGGACCCCCACGGCGCUGCCCGAUGACAUGAACAACAACUCGGGCGCCCCAGCUACAGCCCCUGACUCUGCCGGCCAGUCCCCCGCCCUGGGCCCCGUCUCGCCCGGGGCCAGCGGGAGUCCCGGGCCUGUGGCAGCGGCGCCCAGCUCCCUGGUGGCCGCGGCAGCCUCAGUGGCGGCAGCUGCCGGUGGUGACCUGGGUUGGAUGGCAGAGACCGCUGCCAUCAUCACAGACGCCUCCUUCCUGUCCGGCCUGAGCGCCUCCCUCCUGGAGCGGCGUCCAGCCAGCCCGCUGGGCCCUGCUGGGGGCCUCCCCCACGCCCCCCAGGACAGUGUCCCCCCGAGUGACUCCGCAGCUUCUGACACAACUCCCCUGGGGGCUGCGGUAGGCGGGCCUAGCCCGGCCUCCAUGGCCCCAACGGAGGCGCCCUCGGAGGUGGGGUCCUGAGCCGCACAGCUGAGCCGCCUCUGACCCCUGCUGGCUGGGCCUGACCUUCCCGAGCCCGUGGGGGUGGGGGAGGCCAGCCACCUCCUUCCUCUGGGACUGCCCAGGCUGUGUCGGGGGCUUUCAGGGUUUCGUGGGGUUUGCCCGGAAGGCGGCUUUCCUCCCACUGGUGUGAGCUUGCGCCUCGGGCAUAGGGACGUGGGGUGCAGGCGCCAACAUCAGUGGCAGCAGCCAGGGCCGUGGUCCAGUCCCACUCGGGGAUGGAGUGGGCCGGCGGCCAAACCAGUCACUCGGGGAGGAAUGCGGAGGAGCGCUCAUUCCAUUCUAUUUAAUUGCAGUGUACAAAAUUGUGUUUGUAUAUAGAAUAAACUGUCUGUUGACAGCGG
RNAcentral lists this small RNA (1957 nucleotides) under Pan troglodytes (chimpanzee). RNAcentral's name for it is "retained intron". The record is from RNAcentral. Lineage: Eukaryota; Metazoa; Chordata; Mammalia; Primates; Hominidae.